Molecule: non-coding RNA, 3147 nt
Organism: Lactuca sativa (garden lettuce)
Lineage: Eukaryota; Viridiplantae; Streptophyta; Magnoliopsida; Asterales; Asteraceae
Source: RefSeq, a predicted model, not a curated record
CGUCCAGAUCCUUCUACACCGACCAUCUAUUCUGUAUGUACUCAUCCUUAUCACUACCACCGCUUCAUCUCUCUCUAUUCUUAUUACACUCUCGAUUCUUCUUCUCACUUCUUCUCUAUUGAACCCGAUCGCUUCUAUCUCUACUUUUCUUCUUCAUCUCAGGCUUUAUAGAUUCGGGGUUGUGACGGCCAAAGGUUCUGCUUCACGCCUUCUACAUCUGUUGCUGUUCCUUUUUAAAGAAACACACGAAGCUUCUAUCCUGGGCUCCCUACACUGGCAACCACUGCCUGAUCCGUGCUUCCCACCGCUCCAUGUUAAUUUCUACAAUAUUUGUCGGUGACGAUGGGAAUAGAACGACGGCAAUCAUGAUGAUGAUGUACGAUCCGUCUUCGAGCCCUAAAUCUGUUGAAGGAUUACCUGUGAAUUUCUCGUUUGGACGUGUACGGAGACCACAAACGCACUGUCUUCCACCCUCUUUUUCUUUUAGUUUUGGUUUUCCUUCUUCACCUUUGUUUAUCUGGAAUUUCUUUGGAUUGAUUUCAAAUUUCGUCUUCUCUUUCUCCAGGUUCCGCUCAUGGUUUCUAAUUCCGUGUGUCCGACUUCUGAUUGUUUUCAAGUAACUUGAGUUUUAUUUUUCUCAUCUAAAUUCAUGUUAUUUAUCUUUUUUACUCUUCACCCAAGGUAAAUUUCUUGAUCUCACCAGAGAAAUCUAUAAUGUUAUUAGGAUUUUAAUCAAUUUUUUUAUUCUUCAAUUGUUUUUGGUUGUCUGGUAAGUGCAGGGGCGACAGAUACAUGGUUAGCUCUAAUUGUUGAAGUAUUAUUUUUUCCUAAUAUACUGAAAUUCCCUUUCCAUUUCUUCCUGUAAAUUGAAAAACAUUUUGAAAUAUCUAUCUAUUAACUUAUCAUUCACUUUGAAACUCAAAAAGAUAAAAUCGAUCAAUUUAUCAAUUUUGGGUUUUUUUAUUACCAGUUGCCCAUAGUGAAAAUAUCACUACAGUUGAAGAGAUUCAUACAUACGUUUUGAAACAAUUAAGUUGUUUCAUAGAACUGGACAAUCCUGUGUCAAUGGACUCUUCUAAUACAUCAAAAUCAUGUCAAUAUUGGGUUGUCAGUGGUUCUAUUUCAGGUUUUGAUAUCAUAAUAUCAUUAUCCAAGAUUCAGGUGAGAAUUAUAUAUCAUGUUUUAUUUUAAAUGUUUGAGAAGAUACAAGUUGAUGCUUAUAUGACAUAUGUUAUUAUGUCUCCAGAUGUUGCUUUCAAUUUCUAAAAUUUAUGGUUUCUCCACCAAAGAAAGAGUUGUAUGCAGCUAAGGAAAUUACGUAUAUACGGUACAAGAUGGUAUUUUUUGUUUCUUAUUGUAGUUCACAAGUUUAUUACCACAAAAUCCAUUGACAAAUUUCAGUCAAGUGGAUUUAUCUCAUAACAAUUGUGUGCUUAUUUAUUUGUUUCCAUUCUGCAUGUUUGGUUUCUAAUAAGUUGUUAUGAAUUUAUAGUUAUUCUUUAUUUUUUGUCUUCCUAAACAACUUUUAUAUAUUUUUUAUCAAGCAUGUCUGUUUUUCUAUUGUGAUCAGGCUUACAAACUUACCAAAUUUUCAUAGGUUUUGUAACUGAUAUAUAGUGAUUGUAUCUUUAUAAAUUAUAGAUGGAAUGUUGUGAAUAUAAAAUAUAGGUAAUUUGAUCUAAUUAAAAAAAAGAUUUAGUAGCUAAGAAAUAGUAUUUGUACAUAAAAGUUACAGAUGUCAAAGUGAAUAAUAGAUUAAGUCAACUUGAAUAACGUCUUAAAAUCAAUAAAAUGGGAAUGAAAUGGAUACAUUUUUAACCAAAUGAAUAUGGAUCCGAUUGUUCAAAUUAAGGUAUGAAAUUGUUUCUUCAUAUGCAUUUACUUUUGAUUCUUUCUGCUUUUCAUGUUGUCAUAUGGAUUUUUUUGUGGAUUUCCCCUGUUCUUGAUGACAACAUCCAUCAACAUAUGUUCCCUCUGGUGUAGAAGGAAAAUCAAUUUUUUUCACCAGAACUAAUAGAGGUUCAAGUCAAGUAAUAUCAUACGUCAUUUAGGAGGUCACAUAUGACAGCUUCAAAAUCGAUAUGAUAUUAUUUUUUUAGUUGUUAGAUAUACAUAUGUAUAUAUAAACUUGUAAUAAUAAUUUUCCCAUGAAAAAGGUCCUAGAUGACAAGUUGAAAUUUCACAUGACAAGGACUUCAUCUAGGACCCUGAAGCGAAGAAACCUGAGGGUUACGAUCACAUCCUAAAGGUGAUUUCAGAUUCUGAUUUGAAAGGGUACACUCUUUAAUUUCCAUUUCCGUAAUUCAUUUUUCAUUUUUAAGUUUUUAAUUAUAAUGAGCUAAAAUUGUAGUGAAAAGUUUGAGAUGAGGAGUAAGAUGGUGAGUGGACAGUUGCCUUAUUAGUUUGUUCGAUUUUACAAGGCAUGUAUAUUUCAAAUCCAUCAGUGUCACACGAAACGUUGCUGAAAACAUUGAAACUUCACGAGUUGAAACCAAGGACUUACAGAAUCAAUGUGAUCUUCCAAAUAUACCCUUUAUUAUGUAGUUUUGUAAUCUUUGUGGUGAUUAUUGUUGUAAUUUGUUAUGAAUUAGGUUGGGCAUUUUGUGCAUAUUCCAAAUAAGAUGAUGUGAUUUUCAAUUUUACCCUCAGCUACCAAUUGGGAAGCAAAGAAUGGAGGAGCUUGAAUUUAUAUAUGUUAUUUCACUAUCUCACUGUCUUAUUCUAAUCUUAUGAUAGCUUACUAGGCUCUUUUCAUUUAUGUAUAAGUUAUUAGACUCCAGUUUCUUAUUUGUGUAUUGUUUUUCUAUUACAAAUUGUAGGUCCAUCAACAGGUUAUUGAAAUUGUCACCGAUAUUGCUUCUACAACAUCAAAGUUGGCAUAAAAAAUGUUUUCUACUUUGCAUAUCAGGGUGUUGCUGCCGCACUUGCUAUUUACUUUGCAACGCAAAGGGGUCAUUAUAUCAUAGCAUACUACAACAUAUUUGUGUAUUUGUAAAUGGGAGAAACGUAGAAAAUAGCAACAUACUUUACUGUAGCUACCAAUUAGAACAAUGUACUAUACUUGCAUACAAAAGCGACACCUUCCGACCCCCGCAACGUGGGGGUCACCUUUCUAGUUCUAUUUAAACUAAUUAUUGUGUUAUUGUA